Molecule: ribosomal RNA, 1879 nt
Filed under: Clostridioides difficile
Lineage: Bacteria; Bacillati; Bacillota; Clostridia; Peptostreptococcales; Peptostreptococcaceae
Description: partial 23S ribosomal RNA
Rfam family: Bacterial large subunit ribosomal RNA
Source: RNAcentral
GGGACACGUGAAACCCUGUGGGAAGCAGGAGGGACCACCCUCCAAGGCUAAAUACUACCUAGUGACCGAUAGCGUAUAGUACCGUGAGGGAAAGGUGAAAAGAACCCCGGGAGGGGAGUGAAAUAGAACCUGAAACCCUGCACUUACAAGCUGUGGAAGCACAUUUCUUGUGUGACCGCGUACUUUUUGUAGAACGGGCCAACGAGUUACGUUAAGUAGCAAGGUUAAGCACUUAAGGUGCGGAGCCGUAGCGAAAGCGAGUUUUAACUGAGCGUUCAGUUACUUGACGUAGACCCGAAACCGGGCGACCUACCCAUGAGCAGGAUGAAGCGAAAGUAAAAUUUCGUGGAGGUCCGAACCCACGAGCGUUGAAAAGCUCGGGGAUGACUUGUGGGUAGCGGUGAAAUUCCAAUCGAGCCCGGAGAUAGCUGGUUCUCCCCGAAAUAGCUUUAGGGCUAGCCUCAAGGUGAGAGAUACGGAGGUAGAGCACUGAAUGUCCUAGGGGGUAUUGCACCUACCGAAGACUAUCAAACUCCGAAUGCCGUCAUCUUAUACUUGGGAGUCAGACUGUGGGUGAUAAGAUUCAUAGUCGAAAGGGCAACAGCCCAGAUCGUCAGCUAAGGUCCCUAAAUGUAAGUUAAGUGGUAAAGGAUGUGGGAUUGCACAGACAACCAGGAUGUUGGCUUAGAAGCAGCCACUCAUUCAAAGAGUGCGUAAUAGCUCACUGGUCGAGUGAUCCUGCGCCGAAGAUUUCCGGGGCUAAAACUUACUACCGAAGCUACGGCAUCAGUAAUGAUGGGUAGGGGAGCUUCCCAUACGGGUUGAAGCAUGACCGUAAGGACAUGUGGACAGUAUGGGAGUGAGAAUGUUGGCAUGAGUAGCGAGAUGUGGGUGAGAAUCCCACAGGCCGUAAACCCAAGGUUUCCAGGGGAAGGUUCGUCCGCCCUGGGUUAGUCGGGACCUAAGCUGAGGCCGAAAGGCGUAGGUGAUGGACAACAGGUUGAUAUUCCUGUACUACCGAUAACCGUUUGAGAGAAGGGAUGACACAGUAGGAUAAGCUAAGCACACUGUUGGUUAUGUGUGCCCAAGCAUUGAGGCAGUCAAAGUAGGCAAAUCCGCUUUGAUAAUGCUGGGAUGUGAUGGGGAGCGAAAUUUAGUAGCGAAGUAGCUGAUUUCACACUGUCAAGAAAAGUCUCUAUCGAGGUUAAAGGUACCCGUACCGCAAACCGACACAGGUGGGUGAGGAGAGUAUCCUAAGGCCAGCGAGAGAACUGUUGUUAAGGAACUCGGCAAAAUGACCCCGUAACUUAGGGAUAAGGGGUGCCACCAUCAGGUGGCCGCAGAGAAUAGGCCCAAGCGACUGUUUACCAAAAACAUAGGUUUCUGCUAAGUCGCAAGACGAUGUAUAGGAGCUGACGCCUGCCCGGUGCUGGAAGGUUAAGGGGAUCUGUUAGAGCAAUCGAAGCAGUGAACUUAAGCCCCAGUAAACGGCGGCCGUAACUAUAACGGUCCUAAGGUAGCGAAAUUCCUUGUCGGGUAAGUUCCGACCCGCACGAAAGGCGUAACGAUUUGGGCACUGUCUCAACAACAGACUCGGUGAAAUUGUAAUUCCGGUGAAGAUGCCGGAUACCUGCGACAGGACGGAAAGACCCCAUGGAGCUUUACUGUAGCUUGACAUUGGGUCUUGGUACUACAUGUACAGGAUAGGUGGGAGGCUUUGAAACCAGGACGCCAGUUUUGGCGGAGCCAUCCUUGGGAUACCACCCUUGUAGUACUGGGACUCUAACCAUAGGCCAUGAAUCUGGUCUUGGGACACUGUCAGGUGGGCAGUUUGACUGGGGCGGUCGCCUCCCAAAAGGUAACGGAGGCGCUCAAAGGU